UCGUCUCGAGACGCUUCGUCGUCGCCGCCGCCUCCUCGCGGCCGCAUCCGCCGCGUCCCUCCUCCCGGCCCCGGCCUCCGCCGCGGACGCCCACGCCCCCGCCUUCGAUUCCGCCGCCUACGCCUCCGCGCGGGACGCAGCGGCGCGGUGCGCGGCGGACGAUCGUGUCCAUCUCGCCGUGCCUGCCGCACGUGGCGGCGGUGGCGCCGCCGCUGGCCGCGUCCCCGCCGGCACCCACCGACGCCUGCUGCGUCGCCUUCCUCCGCGCCGUCUACCCGUCGGGAGGGAGCGGAGGGGAGGCUGCCUCUGCCACCUGCUCCGCAACCCGCUCCUCCUCGGCUUCCCCGUCGACGCCGCCCGCCUCGGCGCGCUCCUCCCCGCCUGCGCCGCGGGAAACUCCUUCGCCGCCACCACCGUCGAGGCCGCCAUCCUCUUCGCUGACGCCUGCCGAGGUGCAUAGUUUGUGGGCUUGGUCUUGAUAAUUCCGGUGAUCAACAAAGCCAUUGAAGAUGGUACGCUAAUUGGUUUCUUAGUUAGUGCUAAUAAACUGAUUUACUAUUGUCAAAUCAUCAAAUUGCAGAAAUGUUAAUGUUCAAGAUUUGGGAGAAGGUGACCCAAUUACCAUCCCCGCUCUAGUCCCAGUUACCAAACUACACUGAGCCCACCCACAACCACCCAACUCGGGCACUCCGCAGUUCGCACGGCCCAACACCCGCCUCACUCCUCUCAGCUGCCCUCCCACACGGUCUCUCCGUGCGCCGCUCGCCGCCGCACUCCCCCAACCAUCGCCACCACCUCCACCCCGGGGCCACCCACCUCGCCGCGCCCGUACGUCCACCUCCAACCGACUCACCAGCUCCCGAGCCACCCGACCACUCAGCCAGAUGCUGCCGCUCCGCCCCCCGCCACCGCGGCUCCUGCUCAACAAUGUCUCGUGCAUGCGGAACGCACAGACGGUGCUCCGUGACAUCAACCUCAGCGUCAACGACGGCACGGCCCUUGUCCUCACCGGCGCCAACGGCUCCGGCAAGACCACCCUGCUCCGCAUGCUGGCGGGCUUCUCGCGGCCCUCAGCGGGGGAGAUCCUCUGGAACGGCCAUGACGUCACCUCCCCGGGCGUGUUCCAGCAGUACAAGCUGCAGCUCAACUGGAUGUCGCUCAAGGACGCCGUCAAGGAGAAGCUCACGGUACUGGAGAACGUGCAGUGGUUCGAGCUCCUCGAGGGGAAGGACGGUAGCAGGGCAGGCCCAGCCAUCGAGCUCAUGGGGCUCGGCAGGCUCAUGAACGAGAAGUCUAGGAUGCUCUCCAUGGGGCAGCGGAAGCGGCUGCAGCUUGCCAGGCUGCUAGCCAUCGACCGCCCAAUAUGGCUGCUGGAUGAGCCCUCCGUCGCGCUGGAUGCGGAGGGCACUAGGCUGCUCGAGUACAUCAUCGCGGAGCACCGGAAGAAGGGUGGGAUCGUGUUCGUGGCCACGCACCUGCCCAUCGAGAUUGAGGAUUCCAUGUCCCUUCGGCUUCCGCAGAGGUUCCCCCGGAGGAAGACGCUGGUUGAUCUUGUCCAUUGAUGUCAAUGUGAGCACAGGAAUUUAGCUCUUCAAGUGGUGUAAGCCGGGAACCUUGACCAAAUUUGCAGACCUUUGUACAGGACCAGGUGCAUAGUUCGUGGGCUUGGUCUUGAUAAUUCAGGUGAUCAACAAAACCAUUGAAGAUGGUGGUUCUUGCAGCUUCCAUCGUUUCAAAGUAAGGAAAAGCACUUGUUUCAAGACAGUUUGUUGACAUGUCUUGCAUAAGAAUUGAAGGAUUACUCGCUGCAUUCCCGAAACUGGUUGGGAGUGGGAAGCAGCACACAUAUGUUGGAACUGAAAAUGUGCGUUAUGUUUAUAAACCUAUUGAAGGUUUGUAUCUUCUACUUAUCACAAACAAGUAGAGCAAUAUUCUUAAAGAUCUGGACACUUUGAGGCUGCUCUCCAAGCUCGUAUCCUACUUUUGCAUAUAUUAAUCUUCUGAUUCUUUGGAAAUUACCUUAUUUGUAUGAUCCUAUUUAAUAUGAAUUAAAAUAGAAACUUGGUUUUUUUGGGGGUGGGUGGGGGUGUUAACUUCAAGAACAUAGGCUCAAGAUGGCCAUACUGGCCUAUCUGGAUUUUACAGAUUUUACAUAUUACUGAGGGGGAAAACUUAAAAUGCAACAUGCACUAUAGGUACUUGAAAGUAUCUAUGCAAAAUCUUAACCAAUAUGAAUCUCAUUUCUGAGAGCUGUGUAUAUAUUAACUUCAUGCUACUAUUCAGUGGUAUGUUCUUUCACAGUAAUAUUCCUAUACUACCGUCUCUUUAACCCUUGGAUGAGGAAGGUGUCUGUAAAACAGCAUUUGAGCUUAUUUUUGCUUUGGACGAAGCCAUCUCUCUUGGAAAUAAGGAAAAUGUAACAGUGCAACAAGUCAAACAAUAUUGUGAGAUGGAGAGCCAUGAAGAAAAGGCACACAAGCUGAUGAUGCAAGCCAAAAUCAAUGAAACGAAGGAUGUCAUGAAGAAGAAGGCUAAUGAGCUUGACAAAAUGAGGCGGCAUCCCUUUUGUUUUGCUCUAGCAAUGGCAACAGCAAUGUCAGUACCAGUAGAGGCAUGUCCUGAUGGUUUUUCUAUUGCUCCAUCCUGCAACCUCAAAGGUCGACAGUACUGUGCUGGGCUCCAACAUUGGUGCGCUCAAGAUGGAGCUGCUGUACGCGCAUUGGAUGCUCGACAACGCGGAGGGCAGGGAGAUCCGCAGCCCAAGGAGCUUCUGCUCAUGCUACAACAGCUGGCGUACGACACUGAUGACGCACUCGACGAGCUGGUGUACUUCCGCAUCCAGGACUUUCUCGACGGCACCUUUGAGGCCGCCGACGCCGACAUGCUAAAGAUCGCUGAGAUGGAUGCGCCAAGGUUGAAGGCACAAGGCUGAGCUACUUUUUCAGCUCAAGGCUAAGAAGCUUUUAAGCACGAGGUUAAGGAGUCUACCAGCGCAAGGCUAAAGCACGAGGUUAAGGAGUCUACCAGCACAAGGCUAAAGAUGCAGAGGCGUGAAAAGCAUGACUGCAAGGAGACGUGAGAACUGUGAACCCCCGAAGGUAUGAUUAGCGUGAUUGCCUGGAGACGUGAGAAGCGUGACUCGGUAGGAGAGUUCAAGUUGUACAAGUUACUCCUAAAGAUCAUUAUGUACGGCAUAUUGUAGGAAUGUAGUAGGUGAGAAAGGGUAUUUAUAGUAUGUAAAAUGACUCUGGGACACUAUAAAAGGUGUCCUACCCUAUUGUAAAGGGAUGGAUAAUUUUUGGAACGAGACCACAAGUGUUUUUCCUA
Setaria italica (foxtail millet) is the source of this 3327-nucleotide RNA transcript. It is a transcript of the gene named ABC transporter I family member 1, with no coding region annotated. The record is from RefSeq and is a predicted model, not a curated record. NCBI's taxonomy places the organism in Eukaryota, Viridiplantae, Streptophyta, Magnoliopsida, Poales, Poaceae. The transcript has 8 exons.